This is a non-coding RNA of Solanum lycopersicum (tomato), 1485 nucleotides long. The record is from RefSeq and is a predicted model, not a curated record. Lineage: Eukaryota; Viridiplantae; Streptophyta; Magnoliopsida; Solanales; Solanaceae.
CCCAACUCCCAACAUUCCCUGAACACAAUUCCCACAACGCAUCUUCUUCUUUGUGAAGGAGAACCCAGCUAGAGCGCAGCCCAUCGCGAUCUAGUCCAGUGGAUCUGGCGGCCUGAGUCCACUCUCGUGAUUCGUCUUUCGCUUAUCCUCAAUAGGAAGAAUCUUCCAGGUGUGAAGAUCGUGUUUCUCUUUCGUUCUUCGCUCACAAAUCGGGAGGACGCCAUUCUAUAUCCAUUGAGAAUUUUAUGAUUUACAUCUCCUCAACCUUAUCUCUAAGAGGAAAAUUGAAUUUCAAAUUCACCCCUUUUCUUUAUCCAAUUCCCCCCUCCCCCCCAAAUUCGGCUCCAUCUUUUAAUCUAUAUAAACCCUGUCAUUCUCAGUGUUAAGGGUUGGGAAAUGACAAGAGACAAAGUGGAAGUAAACGAAAAGUUGGGACAAAAAAUGGAAAAACAACGGAAAAGGUUGGGGAAAAUAUAGAAGAAAACCAUCUUACAUUGGAAACAAAAAAUAUACUAUAAGAUAACGAGGUGCACAAAUUCAUAUACAAAAUACAUACGGAAUAGACUCUGAACGAUCGGAGGUUAGAGUUUAGUUUUGAGUUUGCUUUAUCGUUCACUGCUUAGAUUUUGUCGGAUUCUCACUUGCGGUGGUGUUGGUAAUAUAGCUCCCUUCAACUCGUUCUCGUCUCAAUUUUGCUGCCCGGAAAAGGGAAGGUACUUGCCACUUAUCUAGUCAAAUUGAAGAGAGUGCCAAGAGGAGAAAUAAGUUUCAUUUUCAUUAGUAGAGGACAUAUUAACAAAGUAAUCUAAAACCAUAUUAGCUUCUCGAUAACAAUGACUGAAGUUGACUUUGCUAGCACUUUUAUUAGUACCAUAUUAGUGAUUACAAAGGAAUUUAUUUCAAUCCUGAAACUGUUGAUUCCCUUCUCCACACAUCAACUAGGACAAAACUUGUACACUAUUUCCAGAUAUCUCAACUAAUAAAUAUGGGAGGAUUUUGAAUGAUCUGAUCAUGAACACUGCCUUUGGUCCUAACACUCCACCAAUUAUUGAAAAUUCUUCUGAUACGACCAGGCCGAUGAAUAAUGGCAAAGGAGGCACCAAUGUAAUUUCACAUAUGAGUUGCAACCUUCCCUUGUGUAAAUGUAUGUUGAAUGAAAUCUAUUAUAGGUCAGUGCAACAAUAUCAUUAAGCAUUUUAAUGAUUGCAUUAAAAUUUAGUUUCCCUUUGUAUAGCCUCCAAGCAAGAAAGAUGAUCUUAAAACGAAUAGAUACUCUUUAUUAGUACCUAUAAUUACCUUAUUAGUAACUUACUUGCAUAAAUUUUUUUAUAGUUUUUUUUAUGUGUAAUGUACAUCAUUGGGUGGCCAAGUUAGAACCCCUAGUUUCGAAGCAGAUGUGUUGUGCUACCCGACACCUAACAUUGUCACCCUCGUCCUUGACAUUAAGAAGACUCCAUGACUUAAUAAUAUUUUCGCAUGUGUAUA